AUACGUAGGUGGCGAGCGUUGUCCGGAAUUACUGGGUGUAAAGGGCGUGUAGGCGGGGAUGCAAGUCAGAUGUGAAGUACCGAGGCUUAACCUCGGGGCUGCAUCUGAAACUGUGUUUCUCGAGUGUCGGAGAGGAAAGCGGAAUUCCCAGUGUAGCGGUGAAAUGCGUAGAGAUUGGGAGGAACACCAGUGGCGAAGGCGGCUUUCUGGACGACAACUGACGCUGAGGCGCGAAAGCGUGGGGAGCAAACAGGAUUAGAUACCCUGGUAGUCCACGCCGUAAACGAUGGAUACUAGGUGUAGGAGGUAUCGACCCCUUCUGUGCCGGAGUUAACACAAUAAGUAUCCCACCUGGGGAGUACGGCCGCAAGGUUGAA
Molecule: ribosomal RNA, 377 nt
Filed under: uncultured bacterium
Lineage: Bacteria
Description: bacterial SSU rRNA
Rfam family: Bacterial small subunit ribosomal RNA
Source: RNAcentral